Paramisgurnus dabryanus is the source of this 1520-nucleotide long non-coding RNA. RefSeq lists it as uncharacterized. The record is from RefSeq and is a predicted model, not a curated record. Lineage: Eukaryota; Metazoa; Chordata; Actinopteri; Cypriniformes; Cobitidae.
UUAGAACGAUGGCGAGCCGCCGUUUCCCAGAUCUUUACAAGAUGUUAGAACGGCAAGCCGCUCUUUCAUAGAUCUUUAGAAGAGCUUUAAAAGAUGCGGAGCCGCUCUUUUCCAGAUGUUUAGAAGAGCUUUAAAAGAUGCCGAGCCGCUCUUUCCCAGAUCUUUAGAAGAGCUUAGAAAGACGGUAAGCCGCUCUUUCCCAGAUGUUUGUAAGAUUACAAGAUCCCUCAUUAACAAAUUGAAUUGCCCUAAACUACAGCAAAUUAUUUCUACACACAUCUACACAUACAUGCUGUGUCAUCGAUAUUAAGUAAUUAAAACACCAUUUUCAAUUGAUCUUAAAGCAGUUAUUGAUUUUAUAAAACACAUUUAUUCAAAUUAAACAAUGAAAACUUUCAUUCAUUUAUCUUUAAAGAUAUUUUUACAUGACAGUAUGCGAAAACAACAACAUAUAAACAUAACAUAUUUAAAAUAAUCAAAACCUUUCCGCGUCUGCUUUAUUAAUCUCCAUUCUAAAAUAAAACAUUUCAAAAAAUUACCAGGAAAUAAUCGUGAAAGGCUGUUCUUUCUAUAUAGCUUUAAUUAGGAUCUAGAAGAUAAAAUUACCUGAAAGUGUUGUCAUUGUUAAAUAAAUUACGGAUGUGCGUCUUUACGUCAAGGUCGUGAUUCUACAUAACAACAUCCGCUUGACCUCGCAAUGCCAUGAAGAAGAAAGGCGUGGAACAUUUGCUUAAGAUCUUCAGCAGAUGUUUGAGAAAAAAAAUUAUCAUCCUCUUCAUCACUCUUCAUCCGUAUUUGGGGUAACAAACACCUGCUUCCCACAAGAGACUGGACCUCUGAAGUCAGAUAAUUUUACUGGUACAAUGUUGGAUGGAUCAUCAGACCUGCACCUUCCUUGAACAUGUUGGUAACUUACUCUGUAUUUGUUCACGGUGGUCACCCCAGGGUUUCAGGACUCAAAACGAGUGCUCUAUGGAUUGAACAGAAAAUGUGGAUCAACACUCCAACCAUCUGCAUUAGGGACUGAAUAAAGGAUGCCCUCCGUAGCUGGGAAUGUUAGAUCAGGCGGAUCAACAUUCCAUCCAUCUGCAUUAGGAUCUACCUUAGAGACACUCACUGGAGCUGUAAAUGGAAGCAGGUCACUUACUUUGCAUUCGUCCUUGGUGGUCACCCCAGGGUCUCUAGAGUGAAAAUUACUCAAUCUAUGGAUUAAACAGAAAAUUUAAUUUUAUGAAGUGGUAUGUUGUCUUUAAAUGCCAUUAAAAAUGUGUUUCUGUUUUCUGUCUCAUAUUAAAAAAUACUCUUUAACCUGCCCACUGGAUCUGGGAAUGCAAUUUGGGACAUUCUUCCAGUUGUCGGCAACUUUGUGAAAAAGGCUGGAAACUAAAAUGCAGAAUUCUGGCCUGGUGUUUGGUCUGUGCUGUCUUUGACUCUUGCAUCUCCAUCAUCCUGACCCUCUUUAGCAGCCUGUCCAUGUAUUUAUUCGGAGGCCACCAUGAGCACCCAACUGCAUAAUAUGA